This is a long non-coding RNA of Meriones unguiculatus (Mongolian gerbil), 438 nucleotides long. RefSeq lists it as uncharacterized. Lineage: Eukaryota; Metazoa; Chordata; Mammalia; Rodentia; Muridae. The transcript has 3 exons. The record is from RefSeq and is a predicted model, not a curated record.
GGGACAGCCCAGAAGCCGGAGAAGGGUCGCCUACGUGGCCAUUGUCAUCCAGCAGGUUAUUGGUCAGCUUCAGCUUGUCAAAAGACACGAUUUGCUUCAUCCACUGCGCGCCCUUAGCCGGCACAAAGUCCAUGAGCAGCAUGUAGUCAGCCAUGGGAUCCAUUCCAAAGAGCUUCACUUGGAAGACAACCUUGCCCCAGGAAUUCCUGGACACAGCCUCAACCAGCAGCAGGGUACCUCAGAUCCAGAUCCUGGGGCCUCUCUGCCCUUCUCAGAGCCUCCCCUGCUUGGUCCAACAAAGCGAAGACUUCCCGGCUCCAACAAAGUGAAACCGAACACUGCAGUGAUUCCAAAAGUCUCUACUGCCAGUGUGGUCCAGCCCCCCAGGAACACCGGCACCCCAGUACUCCAGUCUCCAACUCUCAAGACCCGGCCAGA